RNAcentral lists this long non-coding RNA (210 nucleotides) under Physcomitrium patens. RNAcentral describes it as "long non-coding RNA (PPAT_LNC000984)". Lineage: Eukaryota; Viridiplantae; Streptophyta; Bryopsida; Funariales; Funariaceae. The record is from RNAcentral.
GAAAGAAGUUUAACCUACAAAGAAUUAUCAAGAUAAAAACCACAAUUUCAACACUAAAAGAAUUGUACUUACCUAUGUGCCUCCUCUUUUGGCUUAAACUUUCAACUAUAGCCUUAAAGAAGCAUUAAGCAAUCUACAACCUUUUAAGGGUUGUCAUUGUUAACAAUUCUAGUUACAUAGACUAGUAUACAAUUAAAGCAAUUGGACCAU